CAUGCUCACUACAUACAAGCUCACUAACACACACACAUGUUCACUACAGACAAGUGCACUGACAGACAAGCUCACUGACACACACACACAUGUUCACUACAGACAAGCUCAUUUACACACACACACACACACACACAUUUGUUCACGACAGACCAGUACACUGACAGACAAGCUCACUGACACACACAUGUGGCCCUAUAG
Molecule: non-coding RNA, 201 nt
Organism: Pelobates cultripes (western spadefoot toad)
Lineage: Eukaryota; Metazoa; Chordata; Amphibia; Anura; Pelobatidae
Source: the annotation of a GenBank genome assembly